GCUGCUGGGAUUGUCGCUUCUGUAUUAGCUAUUCCAAAAUCCUCUGUUGUUGUUCUCACUGUGCCUCCAAUAUUUUCAUCAUAUCUUCCCUUGCAAUAGUUUAUUAUUGCACCAAAAUCUGCAUUAAUUGAGAGACAGAAACAUAUUCUCUGAGCUGAAUUUCAGGUGCACCUAGAGUCUGUCCCUGGAGUAUUUUCAAUGGGCUUA
This 207-nucleotide long non-coding RNA is filed under the name Elaeis guineensis (African oil palm). RNAcentral describes it as "long non-coding RNA (EGUI_LNC032809)". The record is from RNAcentral. Lineage: Eukaryota; Viridiplantae; Streptophyta; Magnoliopsida; Arecales; Arecaceae.